RNAcentral lists this ribosomal RNA (381 nucleotides) under uncultured bacterium. RNAcentral's name for it is "bacterial SSU rRNA". It matches the Rfam family "Bacterial small subunit ribosomal RNA", at positions 29 to 396 of the family's 1533-position model. The record is from RNAcentral.
AACGAACGCUGGCGGCGUGCCUAACACAUGCAAGUCGAGCGCGAAUGGGAGCAAUCCCUAGUAGAGCGGCGCACGGGUGCGUAACACGUGGGUAAUCUGCCCAGAAGUCCGGAAUAACCUGCCGAAAGGCAGGCUAAUACUGGAUAAGCUCACGGGGUCUUCGGACCUUGUGAGAAAAGAUGGCCUCUGUAUACAAGCUAUCUCUUCUGGAUGAGCCCGCGGCCCAUCAGCUAGUUGCGGGGUAAAAGCCCACCAAGGCUACGACGGGUAGCUGGUCUGAGAGGACGAUCAGCCACACUGGAACUGAGACACGGUCCAGACUCCUACGGGAGGCAGCAGUGGGGAAUUUUGCACAAUGGGCGAAAGCCUGAUGCAGCAACG